AUCCAGCUGACGAGCUCCAAAUGGGACGAAGCGCGCGUCCUGGAU
Schistosoma mattheei is the source of this 45-nucleotide non-coding RNA. Lineage: Eukaryota; Metazoa; Platyhelminthes; Trematoda; Strigeidida; Schistosomatidae. The record is from Rfam.